RNA transcript from Cloeon dipterum, 2514 nucleotides. RefSeq lists it as uncharacterized. The transcript is spliced from 9 exons. NCBI's taxonomy places the organism in Eukaryota, Metazoa, Arthropoda, Insecta, Ephemeroptera, Baetidae. The record is from RefSeq and is a predicted model, not a curated record.
CUCCGGCAGCGCGUGCGCCCGUCCUGCAUGAUCAAGUGAUUGUUACCCUUGCAUGCAGUUACAACGUCUUGUCCGUCCUGCUCCAUGCGUAGAAAAAUGACUUGCUGGUGCUGCAAAGUAAUAUGAAUGAAGACCAAAUCUUUAUCUUCCGAGCUGGUGGUGGUGGUGCUGCUGGCACUUGUGCCCUUGCCAGGCCCACAAGUCCCUCGACCGCCCUGCCAUAGAGACAGGUCGUCCGUCGUGCGCAAUAUCAUCACCAAAAAAUGGACGCCCAUCCUAGAGAGGUACGGUCUCAAACUGCCGAUAGAGUGUCCCUUCCACCCUGCCAGGGAGGUUUACUGGCCGAGACAAGGGUCGAAAAUCAAACACAGGGCGACGCAGUGGAGCUGUGGUCUGUGUGGAAAGUCUUUCUAUUCGGAGAAGUUCCUUGAAAUGCACUUUGAGAACAGACACUCGGAGCACCUCAACAUUGUGAGUGUGGCCGAAGAUGCCAUCUGCCUGGCAGACUAUUGCGACAUCAUGCGUUGCACCGUGUGGGAGCAUGGAAUCAAAGGGUCAUCGACCUCCAACACUGACCUGGAGUUGUGGGGCCGUGAUUCUGCGAAUACCGCCGCGCUCGUCGUGUCCAAAACGGCCUUGCAGCCGGUCCAGCAACAAAAAGCCAAAAGAGGUGAAAUCGUGCUAACGCCAACAAGUGCUCCAAAGGCAGGGAAACAUCCCGAGGUGAAAGUGAAUAAGUCACACCACAAAACAGUGAACACUCAAAACUGCAACAACUCCAGAUCAAAGCGAUCAGCAGACACCGCAGGUGCCGAUUGUACUAGAAUUAAUGCCCAAGACGAGCAAAUGAAACGAUUCAAGGCUGACUGCAGACCAGACCUCCUGCAGGAGUUGAGGGACCAAUGCGAGACUCUGGUUUGGAACUGCAUAGCAGGUCUGCUCGCCAACCUCACCACCGAGGAGUUCAAAACCAUCGAAGCUGACAUGAAUCGAGCAGUUUGUUGGUACUUGACGUGCGACAGGUACUGGGAAAACUCAGCGCACGAACGACGUAAAUUCCCGUGGGCUUUGCUGCUUGUGUUGGUCACUGCCCUCGCCCUGGUCAUUUGCUUCUGCUAUUAUCUUAUUUGGCUUCUGUGCGAUUGGCAAUACCGAGGGAACAAAGGUUCCAUGUCGGAGCCGUCGUCGCCGCUACUGCAGCAUCAGCAGGCGCAAAUGGGCCAUCAGCACCACCAUUUGCAUCAUCAGCAAGCAAUCCCGAUGCCAUAUCACGGGGAUGAGUUCUCGAUGGAGGGCGAGCCAUAUUACGUGGCCGAGAACCAAGGCGAGCAUUAUAUCUACGUAACCUAUCCACCUGAGUUAAAGAGGCGCCUCAUGGAGAGGUUAGAGACUACUCACACCACAUGAAACUAUGUCUAUCCAAUUACAGAGCACCCAUUCAACCGCGCACCUCAAUCUGUCUAGCUCUCUCAUUAACUCCUCCAGUCAUGCUGCUACAAUCGUACGUCACGUAUAUGAUUAUGUGUUUGAUGAUGAGGACUGACUGGAUUGAUGAGUGGUGCAGAAAAUUUGCACUUUCACGCGUGUUUUGCACAAACUAAAUUGGUAGGCGCGGAUUCCGACGGCACGGCCAAAUCUUUUGAGACUCAUUCUCGCACAAAAGGCAACCGGAGACAAAAUCGAAGGUGUUAUUUGAAAAUUUGAUUCAUACACGUGCACUCGUGCUAUAUCUGCGGUUUAAAUUACUACAUUUUUGCAACUUUCAUACAGAUUUUAUUGUUAAAAGCAGGACCCACGCUUUUCACGACAAUUAGUUUUCCUUGACUUAACGCCGAAUGUUUUUGCAUUCAAGCAAAACCAUUUUUAAAAUCAGCUUUUGCUGAACAUUUCGAUAGAUUUUUGCAUUUAAAAUUCGCACACCAAGAAAUAAUGUUAUUUUCACGCGGUGGGUCCGACAUGAUACAAAUUCCAAUCGCAAUCAAUGUCCUUUUUAGCCGUCGUUAGAUCAACGCACUGUUUAAAACGCGUCAAUUGUAAAUAAACUAAAACGAAAGGGUUUAAAAAUGAAUUGAUAAAAUGCAGAAAACACUUUUAUGUAAUAAAACUAACUGACGAGAGGUUGUGAAUUGAAUUUUUCUAAACUCGCUUUGAGACUUCAGCUUUUCUAUAAUCUUGAGAUCUGUCGAAUCAAAAAUCGUGCAUUUGUUUCCCUAUGAAAUACGAAUUAAUAAUGGUAAAAAUCGUUUCAGCGAUUAAAUAAUUGAUAAAAAUAAAGAGAUAUUUGGAAAAUACUCUUACCACGAGCACGUUAAAUAAUGCCUGUUCUGAAUCUUUUUGAAUGUAGUGAAGAUGCUGUGUAGAUGGAUUUAAAAGCUGUAAGAUAAAUUAUUGCCAUAAAUAAGCAACAGUUUAGAAUCGAUGCAACAAUUUUAAUUAUAAUUAUUUGCUUAACGACUGUUUGAGGAGAAGCAAACGUUCACACAUCAAAAAUAAAAAUGCCAAAUCUUUUGUAAA